RNAcentral lists this transfer RNA (71 nucleotides) under Acropyga panamensis. RNAcentral's name for it is "tRNA-Trp". Lineage: Eukaryota; Metazoa; Arthropoda; Insecta; Hymenoptera; Formicidae. The record is from RNAcentral.
AAGAUUUUAAGUUAAUUAAACUUUAAAUUUUCAAAGUUUAACAUAUAAAUUUAUUUAUUUUAUAGGUCUUA